UACGUAGGGACCAAGCGUUGUUCGGAUUUACUGGGCGUAAAGGGCGCGUAGGCGGCAAUUCAAGUCAUCUGUGAAAUCUCUGGGCUUAACCCAGAACGGCCAGGUGAUACUGCUUUGCUAGAGUGCGGAAGGGGCAAUCGGAAUUCCUGGUGUAGCGGUGAAAUGCGUAGAUAUCAGGAGGAACACCGGUGGUGUAGACGGCUUUCUGGACCGUAACUGACGCUGAGACACGAAAGCGUGGGUAGCAAACAGG
This 253-nucleotide ribosomal RNA is filed under the name uncultured prokaryote. RNAcentral's name for it is "partial 16S ribosomal RNA". It matches the Rfam family "Bacterial small subunit ribosomal RNA", at positions 524 to 776 of the family's 1533-position model. The record is from RNAcentral.